This is a small nuclear RNA of Grammomys surdaster, 129 nucleotides long. The record is from RefSeq and is a predicted model, not a curated record. NCBI's taxonomy places the organism in Eukaryota, Metazoa, Chordata, Mammalia, Rodentia, Muridae.
AAUUUUUAUGAAAGUAAAGAACUGUUAGUACUCCCCUUGACCAGGACAGGAGAUGUACUUGAGUCUAAAAUCAUACAUAUGGUGAAAGCAUUGUCACCUACUUUUUGGUGUUUUAAACAUUGUCAUUGU